GACGAACGCUGGCGGCGUGCCUAAUACAUGCAAGUAGAACGCACAGUUUACACCGUAGCUUGCUACACCAUAGACUGUGAGUUGCGAACGGGUGAGUAACGCGUAGGUAACCUGCCUGGUAGCGGGGGAUAACUAUUGGAAACGAUAGCUAAUACCGCAUAAUAUUAAUUAUUGCAUGAUAAUUGAUUGAAAGAUGCAACUGCAUCACUACCAGAUGGACCUGCGUUGUAUUAGCUAGUAGGUGAGGUAACGGCUCACCUAGGCGACGAUACAUAGCCGACCUGAGAGGGUGAUCGGCCACACUGGGACUGAGACACGGCCCAGACUCCUACGGGAGGCAGCAGUAGGGAAUCUUCGGCAAUAGACGAAAGUCUGACCGAGCAACGCCGCGUGAGUGAAGAAGGUUGUCGGAUCGUAAAGCUCUGUUGUAAGAGAAGAACGGGUGUGAGAGUGGAAAGUUCACACUGUGACGGUAGCUUACCAGAAAGGGACGGCUAACUACGUG
Molecule: ribosomal RNA, 505 nt
Filed under: uncultured bacterium
Lineage: Bacteria
Description: partial 16S ribosomal RNA
Rfam family: Bacterial small subunit ribosomal RNA
Source: RNAcentral